This 650-nucleotide ribosomal RNA is filed under the name uncultured archaeon. RNAcentral's name for it is "bacterial SSU rRNA". It matches the Rfam family "Archaeal small subunit ribosomal RNA", at positions 313 to 968 of the family's 1478-position model. The record is from RNAcentral.
AAUCCAGGCCCUACGGGGCGCAGCAGGCGCGAAAACUUUACAAUGCGGGCAACCGUGAUAAGGGAACCUCGAGUGCCUGUAAAUGCAGGCUGUUUAGGUGUUUAAAACGCACCUGGAGAAAGGGCCGGGCAAGACCGGUGCCAGCCGCCGCGGUAAUACCGGCGGCUCGAGUGGUGGCCACUUUUAUUGGGCUUAAAGCGUUCGUAGCUGGGUUGUUAAGUCUCUUGGGAAAUCUGGCGGCUUAACCGUCAGGCGUCUAAGGGAUACUGGCAAUCUUGGAACCGGGAGAGGUGAGGGGUACUUCGGGGGUAGGAGUGAAAUCCUGUAAUCCUCGAGGGACCACCUGUGGCGAAGGCGCCUCACCAGAACGGCUUCGACAGUGAGGGACGAAAGCUGGGGGAGCAAACCGGAUUAGAUACCCGGGUAGUCCCAGCCGUAAACUAUGCGCGUUAGGUGUAUCGGUGACCACGAGUUACCGAGGUGCCGAAGGGAAACCGUGAAACGUGCCGCCUGGGAAGUACGGUCGCAAGGCUGAAACUUAAAGGAAUUGGCGGGGGAGCACAACAACGGGUGGAGCUUGCGGUUUAAUUGGAUUCAACGCCGGAAAUCUUACCGGGACCGACAGCAACAUGAAGGCCAAGCGAGGAGUG